Molecule: ribosomal RNA, 257 nt
Filed under: Salmonella enterica subsp. enterica serovar Gatineau
Lineage: Bacteria; Pseudomonadati; Pseudomonadota; Gammaproteobacteria; Enterobacterales; Enterobacteriaceae
Description: partial 23S ribosomal RNA
Rfam family: Bacterial large subunit ribosomal RNA
Source: RNAcentral
GUACCGUGAGGGAAAGGCGAAAAGAACCCCGGCGAGGGGAGUGAAAAAGAACCUGAAACCGUGUACGUACAAGCAGUGGGAGCCCCACCACCAAAGCAUUCUCUGGUGUUGAAGGCCCUGCAAAGCAGCAUCGCGGUGGCGGAGCGUCGUUUGCGACGCCCAACACACAAAACAAGCGGUGAGUGCUUUGGGGUGGGGUGACUGCGUACCUUUUGUAUAAUGGGUCAGCGACUUAUAUUCUGUAGCAAGGUUAACCG